Molecule: ribosomal RNA, 251 nt
Filed under: uncultured bacterium
Lineage: Bacteria
Description: partial small subunit ribosomal RNA
Rfam family: Bacterial small subunit ribosomal RNA
Source: RNAcentral
AGGACGAACGCUGGCGGCGUGCUUAACACAUGCAAGUCGAACGAGGCGCUUGCGCCUAGUGGCGAACGGGUGAGUAACACGUGAGCAACCUGCCCUUGGCUCUGGGAUAGCCUCCGGAAACGGGGAUUAAUACCGGACAUGACCUUCUCCUGCAUGGGGGAGGGUGGAAAGUUUUUCGGCCAGGGAGGGGCUCGCGGCCUAUCAGCUUGUUGGGGGGGUAACGGCCCACCAAGGCGACGACGGGUAGCCGG